Molecule: non-coding RNA, 85 nt
Organism: Mycena capillaripes
Lineage: Eukaryota; Fungi; Basidiomycota; Agaricomycetes; Agaricales; Mycenaceae
Source: the annotation of a GenBank genome assembly
GGUCUUGUAGCCGAAUGGUAAUGGCUUAAGCUUUAAGUCUGAUGACGUAAGCUGAUACCUCUGGGUUUGAAUCCCAGCAAGACCU